AUUGAACGCUGGCGGCAUGCCUAACACAUGCAAGUCGAACGGAGGUAGGGGCAACUCUACUUCAGUGGCGGACGGGUGAGGAAUGCGUCGGAAUCUACCCUAUGGUGGGGGAUAACACAGGGAAACUUGUGCUAAUACCGCAUAAUGUCGAGAGACCAAAGCAGGGGACCGCAAGGCCUUGCGCGAUAGGAUGAGCCGACGCCCGAUUAGCUAGUUGGUAGGGUAAAGGCCUACCAAGGCGACGAUCGGUAGCUGGUCUGAGAGGAUGAUCAGCCACACUGGGACUGAGACACGGCCCAGACUCCUACGGGAGGCAGCAGUGGGGAAUAUUGGACAAUGGGCGCAAGCCUGAUCCAGCAAUGCCGCCAGCGUCGUU
This 376-nucleotide ribosomal RNA is filed under the name uncultured bacterium. RNAcentral describes it as "bacterial SSU rRNA". It matches the Rfam family "Bacterial small subunit ribosomal RNA", at positions 30 to 410 of the family's 1533-position model. The record is from RNAcentral.